GGGCCUGUAGCUCAGCCUGGUUAGAGCAUUGGUCUUAUACACCAAGUGUCGGGGGUUCAAAUCCUCCCAGGCCCA
This 75-nucleotide transfer RNA is filed under the name Microcaldota archaeon. RNAcentral's name for it is "tRNA-Ile". It matches the Rfam family "tRNA". Rfam says of the family: Transfer RNA (tRNA) molecules are approximately 80 nucleotides in length. Their secondary structure includes four short double-helical elements and three loops (D, anti-codon, and T loops). Lineage: Archaea; Nanobdellati; Microcaldota. The record is from RNAcentral.